RNAcentral lists this long non-coding RNA (270 nucleotides) under Lathyrus oleraceus (garden pea). RNAcentral describes it as "Pisum sativum (pea) long non-coding RNA (PSAT_LNC017679)". The record is from RNAcentral. Lineage: Eukaryota; Viridiplantae; Streptophyta; Magnoliopsida; Fabales; Fabaceae.
AUAAAUAUAAAUUAAUAAAUUUAAAAUAACUUAAAAAAGAUUUAAAAAAAAUUUAAAAAAAAAUUAAAAACAUUCCAAAAAUAAUUAUAAAAAAAAAGAAACAAGUGUAGGCGCCACUCCUAGUGGCGACUUGCCCUACCUUUAAGGGUAGGCGCCAACUAGGGUGGCGCCCAUGAAGAAAAUAGGGCAAAAAAUGCCCAUAUUUGUAAUUUUUUUGAAAAUAUGGAUAUUUUUGGAUUUUUUUUUAAAAUUGAAUAUUUAAAAAAAAAC